Molecule: ribosomal RNA, 253 nt
Filed under: uncultured bacterium
Lineage: Bacteria
Description: partial 16S ribosomal RNA
Rfam family: Bacterial small subunit ribosomal RNA
Source: RNAcentral
UACGGAGGGUGCAAGCGUUAUCCGGAUUCACUGGGUUUAAAGGGAGCGUAGGUGGGUUGGUAAGUCAGUGGUGAAAUCCCCGAGCUUAACUUGGGAACUGCCAUUGAUACUAUCAGUCUUGAAUACUGUGGAGGUUAGCGGAAUAUGUCAUGUAGCGGCGAAAUGCUUAGAUAUGACAUAGAACACCAAUUGCGAAGGCAGCUGGCUACACAAAUAUUGACACUGAGGCUCGAAAGCGUGGGGAUCAAACAGG